AGCAGUAGCCGCGGUAAUACAGAGGCCUCAAGCGUUGUUCGGAUUCAUUGGGCGUAAAGGGUGCGUAGGUGGCUUGGUAAGUUGAAGGUGAAAUCUCGGGGCUUAACCCCGAAACUGCCUUCAAUACUGCUAGGCUCGAGGACUGUAGAGGAGAAUGGAAUUCACGGUGUAGCAGUGAAAUGCGUAGAUAUCGUGAGGAAGACCAGUGGCGAAGGCGAUUCUCUGGGCAGUUCCUGACACUGAGGCACGAAGGCCAGGGGAGCAAACGGGAUUAGAUACCCCUGUAGUCCCUGUCUCUUAUAC
RNAcentral lists this ribosomal RNA (303 nucleotides) under uncultured bacterium. RNAcentral's name for it is "partial 16S ribosomal RNA". It matches the Rfam family "Bacterial small subunit ribosomal RNA", at positions 507 to 807 of the family's 1533-position model. The record is from RNAcentral.